Molecule: ribosomal RNA, 386 nt
Filed under: Turborotalita quinqueloba
Lineage: Eukaryota; Foraminifera; Rotaliida; Globigerinidae
Description: partial 18S ribosomal RNA
Source: RNAcentral
UAUUGUAGAAUAUUGUUGUCGUCGAGUCAUUAUUGCCACUACGUCUGGUCCUUUGGGCAGAAUAGUGUUGUAUAUUUUGUCUUGUCAACACAAAAUUCUUCACAAUAUUGUAGCCGUACUUGAUUGUAUGCGCUAUUCAUGUAUAUGUGGUUAGUCAACACCAGUUCGGCUGCUUGCACACAUCGCCAUCUCAACAUGAUCAGUCAGGCUGCUAGAGACCUUGUGUCUUGCCCCAAAGGUUGAUUAACACCGUGAGUGCAACGAGUGAGAUUGCAAGCCUUGUUAUGUAGUGAACAACAUAUACCUACUACUACUACUUUGUAGUAAUGUAGGAUUCCAACUACACACAGAAUAACCAUUAAGGUGAAAUGAACUCCAGCGACUGC